Plodia interpunctella (Indianmeal moth) is the source of this 591-nucleotide long non-coding RNA. RefSeq lists it as uncharacterized. The record is from RefSeq and is a predicted model, not a curated record. The transcript has 4 exons. Lineage: Eukaryota; Metazoa; Arthropoda; Insecta; Lepidoptera; Pyralidae.
GUAAAAUCAUCCGCUGCUUUGUUUCCAUAGGACAUUCGGGAUACCUACUGGUUAACCUGUAGCCUAGGAACAUCGCGCCGAAUCAUUCUAGUGCGGGGCGCUCAAAAUGGUAACCGGAUUUAUAGUAUUAGCGUGUGCAGCUGCUUUUGCGACAAUUUGGACUGGAUUGUUUCUCGCUUUUGGAUCUAGUUCCGUUUACUUCAACAGUGUCGCGACCACCACUGAAAGUGUUCCGAUUCCUAUAGAACUAAGUAUAGAGGGCCGCGGGUACUUGAGAUAUAUUCCCUCAUGAGCCAUGUAUAGAUGCGUUAAGUCUACUGAAAAUUUGAAAACGAAUUGGUGCACUGCCGCGGUAAGAGCGACUGUCUCUGUUUGAUCACAAGAGGCAAGGUUUUCAUCGAAGAUUUGAAUCUAUCAUCAUCCUCAUCAUCAUUGGAGAUGACGAUGAUUAUGCUUGAGAUAUUAUCAAACGCAGUUGGUACUGACGCAGACCGAAUCGAGGCGAAUCCAUAAAACGAAAUACGGCAAAAUAAUAAAUAUAAUGAUGUUAAUUAAUACUUAAAAAAUAGUACAAUUUGUUAAUUUUAUCAA